Molecule: ribosomal RNA, 483 nt
Filed under: uncultured Gammaproteobacteria bacterium
Lineage: Bacteria; Pseudomonadati; Pseudomonadota; Gammaproteobacteria
Description: bacterial SSU rRNA
Rfam family: Bacterial small subunit ribosomal RNA
Source: RNAcentral
AUUGAACGCUGGCGGCAGGCCUAACACAUGCAAGUCGAGCGCGAAAGGCUUUCGGGCUGAGUAGAGCGGCGGACGGGUGAGUAACGCGUAGGAAUCUACCUGGUAGUGGGGGACAACUUGGGGAAACUCAAGCUAAUACCGCAUACGCCCUAAGGGGGAAAGCGGGGGACCUUCGGGCCUCGCGCUAUCGGAUGAGCCUGCGUAGGAUUAGCUUGUUGGUGAGGUAAAGGCUCGCCAAGGCGACGAUCCUUAGCUGGUCUGAGAGGAUGAUCAGCCACACUGGAACUGAGACACGGUCCAGACUCCUACGGGAGGCAGCAGUGGGGAAUAUUGCGCAAUGGGCGAAAGCCUGACGCAGCCAUGCCGCGUGUGUGAAGAAGGCCUUCGGGUUGUAAAGCACUUUCAAUUGGGAAGAAAAGCUCAUCGUUAAUAGCGGUGAGCCCUGACAUUACCUUUAGAAGAAGCACCGGCUAACUCCGUGCC